Molecule: unclassified non-coding RNA, 423 nt
Filed under: uncultured Basidiomycota
Lineage: Eukaryota; Fungi; Basidiomycota
Description: sequence contains ITS2
Rfam family: 5.8S ribosomal RNA (bases 1-154)
Source: RNAcentral
AACUUUUGACAAUGGAUCACUUGGCUCUCGCAUCGAUGAAGAACGCAGCGAAAUGCGAUCAGUAAUGUUAAUUGCAGAAUUCAGUGAAUCAUCGAAUCUUUGAACGCACCUUGCACGCUUUGGAAUUCCGAAGGGUAUGCUCGUUUGAGUGUCAUUGUACUCUCACACUCCUCUGAUCCUUUGGAUUCGGGGAGCGGUGGACUUGGGUGUUUGCUGCUUUCCUUGUGGCUCACCUUAAAUGCGUCAGUGCACCUCUUGGUUGGACAUAGUACAGCGUGAUAAGUGUCUUCGCCGGCACCUCGCAAGAGGGUGGCCGAUCGAGAGCUCUGUGCUUUCAAACCGUCUUCGGACACUUUCUGACAACUUGACCUCAAAUCGAGUAGGACUACCCGCUGAACUUAAGCAUAUCAAUAAGCGGAGGAU